AGCUCCAAUAGCGUAUAUUAAAGUUGUUGCAGUUAAAAAGCUCGUAGUUGGAUUUCUGAGCGUGUGCGCCUGCCCCACUGGGGUAACCCAGCGAGUGGUGGUGUGCGCCGUUCAUAUGGGAUGAAUCUUCAUUGCCGGUCAAACGGUGAUGACAGACCUCCCGCUAUACUUUGAAAAAAUUAGAGUGUUUAAAGCAGGCUUGCGCUAUGAAUACAUUAGCAUGGAAUAUUAAUUUAGGACUUUGUUUCUAUUUUAUUGGUUUCUAGGAAUAAAGUAAUGAUUGAUAGGGAUAGUUGGGGGUGCUAGUAUUCAUCGGCCAGAGGUGAAAUUCUUGGAUUCGAUGAAGACUAACUAAUGCGAAAGCAUUCACCAAGGAUGUCUUCU
This 384-nucleotide ribosomal RNA is filed under the name uncultured eukaryote. RNAcentral's name for it is "SSU rRNA". It matches the Rfam family "Eukaryotic small subunit ribosomal RNA", at positions 587 to 972 of the family's 1831-position model. The record is from RNAcentral.